AGGACGGUUCCGCGUCGUUCCACGGUUGCUACGAGCGGCGUCGGCGUCGGCGUCGUUCGGCGUCGUCGUCGUCGUCGUCGUCGACGUCGUCGUCGUCGUCGUCGUCGUUAUCGCCGGCGUCAGAGCGAACACGCAGCUGCCAAGGGCAGUCUCCGGUUCUCGGUCCAGUCUGCCAUACGCCGUCGUUUCGUACGCACGAACGUCGAGCGGACUCGCGCGCGCGUGUGCACGAGAAAGAGAGAGAGAGAAAGAAAGAAAAAGAGAUAGAGAGAGAGAGACACACACACACACACACAUACAUACACACACAUAUACACAUUCACACAUACGCACGAACAGACAGACGGAUAGACGUAUAACACAUAAGGAUUUAUUAAUAAUUGUAUAGAAACUCAUCUCGUUUUUAUCUUCUACCAUCUUCGUUUUUAUCGUUUAAUGUUUUUCUUCCUUCUCCUUUCUACUUGCCCGUUCGAUUUUGAAUAUUAUACGUUUUAUUUUCUCCGAUUAUUCUCAUCACGAUGCGGAAAAAUCUAAUCGUCGUGUUGUGUGUGCGUGUCUCGUGAUUGUGUUUCGUCUGUUCGAGAGAUCCGAGAAAUUGUUCCAACCGAUAGAGACUGCUAAAUACGGUUUAAAUACGGUGACGUUUAUGAUUAUUGUGGGUUGAUGAUUGUUAACAUUUUUGUAAGCACGAACGUGCAGAUUUUUGUUCACUUUUCUGUGACAUCUCAACGAUAAAGGGAAUGUGCUGUCAACUGGCUGAAGGCGCAAGGGUUAGAAUCUUUCAUCACUCGUGUUUCUUGUUUUCUUCUUCGUGGAAGAUAAGGAUCGACACGAUGCUCUAACGAAGAUUUCUCAGCAGCGUGAAUUUCUUCGAGAGAGUCAGGAGGAGCUGAAGACGAGGAGGGUAGUCAUUGAAGGAGGGGAAAAAAAGGAGCAGGAAAAGAAAGAGAAGGAGAAAAAAAAGAAGAAGAAGAAGAAGAAGAAGAAGUAGGAGGAGAAAUAAGAGGAGAAGAAAUAGAAGGAAGAAGAGAAGGAAGAGUAAGGAUAGAAGAGGGUGGUGGUAGUUGUUACAAGAGUGGAAGAGAGAAGAGAGACGGUGGGGCGAACCGGAACCGGAAAUGGCUGCGAGGUGGCUCCUACUGGCGCUCCUCGCCGCCCAUGCCGUGGCUCUUCCUGAUAUCAUUAGGAUAGGUGGGCUGUUUCAUCCGUCCGACGACAAACAGGAAGUGGCCUUUCGUUACGCCGUAGAAAAAAUCAACGCCAACAGGGACAUUCUGCCCAAGUCUCGUCUCAGUGCCCAGAUUGAGCAGAUAAAACCGCAAGACAGUUUUCACGCUUCCAAGAGAGUGUGCCAUUUGCUGCGGAGUGGCGUAGCUGCAAUUUUUGGACCUCAAAGUGCGCACACUGCUUCCCACGUGCAGAGCAUCUGCGACACUAUGGAAAUACCGCACUUGGAGACACGCUGGGAUUACAGACUAAGAAGACAGAGCUGCCUCGUCAACCUUUAUCCUCAUCCUACUACCCUCUCGAAGGCGUACGUUGACCUUGUGAAGGCAUGGGGUUGGAAAAGCUUUACCAUCAUAUACGAGAACAACGAAGGACUGGUGCGAUUGCAAGAGCUUUUAAAAGCUCACGGUCCGAGCGAAUUCCCCAUUACCGUUAGACAACUUAGUGAAGGCUCGGAAUAUCGGCCAUUGCUGAAGCAGAUAAAGAACUCGGCUGAGUCACACAUAGUGCUGGACUGUUCCACCGAAAGGAUUUACGAUGUGUUGAAGCAAGCUCAACAAAUAGGAAUGAUGAGCGACUAUCACAGUUACCUCAUCACUUCUUUGGAUCUUCAUAGCGUCGAUUUAGAAGAAUUUAAACAUGGCGGGACCAAUAUCACUGCCUUCCGUCUGGUUGAUCCAGAAAAGCCAGAGAUUCAGCGAGUUGUACAAGACUGGAUCUAUGGUGAGAAGCGUUAUAAUCGUGAACUCGACAUGGGCCAGGCAUCUAAUAAGAACAACCUGACGUGCAUAAAGACUGAAACCUCUUUGAUGUACGAUGCCGUACAUCUUUUUGCAAAGGCAUUACAUGAUCUGGAUACUUCUCAACAGAUCGACAUUAAACCACUUUCCUGCGAAUCCACUGACACCUGGCCUCAUGGAUAUUCUCUAAUUAAUUACAUGAAAAUCGUCGAAAUGACCGGUUUAACCGGUAUCAUCAAAUUCGAUCAUCAAGGAUUCCGUUCGGAUUUCAUUCUUGAUAUUAUUGAACUUAAUAAUAAGGAUGGUUUGAAAAAAAUCGGUACGUGGAACAGCACCAAGGGUAUAAAUUUUACGAGAAGCUACGGGGACGUUUAUACGCAAAUCGUCGAAAAUUUACAGAACAAAACUUUCAUCGUGACAACGAUAUUGAGUGCUCCAUACUGUAUGCGGAAGGAUUCGAGCGAGAAGCUUACCGGAAAUGCGCAAUUCGAGGGAUACAGCGUCGACUUGAUUUACGAGAUAUCGCGAAUCCUCGGCUUCAAUUAUACCUUCAGACUAGUGCCGGAUGGCCGUUACGGUUCGUACAAUAAGCAGACCAAGGAAUGGGAUGGGAUGAUGAAGGAGCUUCUAGACCAAAAGGCCGACCUCGCCAUCGCUGAUUUAACCAUUACUUACGACCGUGAACAGGCAGUUGAUUUUACGAUGCCUUUUAUGAAUUUAGGGAUAAGCAUACUUUAUCGUAAGCCGAUAAAGCAACCACCGAAUCUCUUCUCGUUUCUCAGUCCAUUAAGCCUUGACGUUUGGAUUUACAUGGCCACAGCUUAUCUAGGGGUGUCCGUUUUGUUGUUUAUUCUAGCAAGAUUCACACCGUACGAGUGGUACAAUCCUCAUCCAUGCAACAAAAACCCGGAUCAUCUGGAAAAUCGGUUCAAGCUACUCAACUGCCUCUGGUUCACCAUUGGAUCGUUAAUGCGGCAGGGUUGCGAUAUUCUGCCUAAGUUCAGCCCCUACGAGUGGGAGAAUCCCCAUCCGUGCAACGGGCAGUCCGAGGUCCUCGAAAAUGAGUUCACCCUGAUGAACUCGCUCUGGUUCACCAUAGGCUCGCUCAUGCAGCAAGGCUCUGAUAUAGCGCCGAAGGCCGUAUCAACACGUAUGGUAGCCGGUAUGUGGUGGUUCUUCACACUUAUCAUGAUAUCGUCGUAUACUGCAAAUCUUGCUGCAUUUCUUACCGUCGAGAGAAUGGAUUCGCCGAUCGAGAGCGCCGAAGAUCUUGCAAAACAAACAAAGAUAAAAUACGGCGCCUUGAAGGGCGGCAGCACUGCUGCCUUUUUCAGGGAUUCCAAUUUCUCGACGUAUCAGCGCAUGUGGUCCUUCAUGGAUUCGGCGAAGCCGACGGUAUUUACAUCGAGCAACGUCGAGGGCGUAGAUCGAGUGAUCAAGGGAAAGGGAAGCUACGCAUUCCUAAUGGAAUCCACUUCCAUUGAAUACGUAAUCGAGAGGAACUGCGACCUAACUCAAGUCGGCGGUCUCUUGGACUCGAAAGGAUAUGGCAUAGCCAUGCCACCAAAUUCGCCGUACAGGACGGCUAUAAGCGGAGCCAUACUGAAACUUCAAGAAGAAGGGAAGCUGCACUUACUGAAGACUCGAUGGUGGAAGGAGAAACGUGGAGGUGGAUCCUGCAGGGACGACACGUCAAAGAGCAGUUCAGCAGCGAACGAGUUGGGUCUAGCGAAUGUUGGUGGCGUAUUCGUUGUUCUGAUGGGUGGCAUGGGCGUUGCCUGUGUAAUAGCAGUCUGCGAGUUCGUCUGGAAGAGCAGGAAGGUCGCGAUCGAGGAACGGGUGAGUGUCGUCAGAUAGCACGUGGAGGAGGGCGCGAUCGCGCCGGAAGUCAACUCUGCAAACACGCAUCUCGAUCCGGACGCGAUCUAUCCCGACAUACCACGCGAAUACAUCAGUUGAUGUUCGCACGAUGGUGGAGUUUCUCUUUAAUGGUCCCAGUGCAACUACAAGACUACUCGGGUCUGAUCCGUAACCGGCUGUCGUCAUAAUUUCCUUCAAGAAAGCAGAAAUCAUCGGGGAAACCGAUCUGCGAAGGUUUUACUGAUCUGCACUAGCGAGCAAUGCUAUUCGCCACGCUUCAAAAACAGAUUCCUAAGCCCGAGCCGGUACAACUAAGUGUAUCCGACCCGAGUUCGAUGGACCUAAGGAAGAACUCCAUCAUGAGUGACCGAGAAUCGUGUAUAAACGACAUACCAAUCGAAGAAACGAAAUAAUCGAGAGAAGAAGCAAGCAGCCUCGACCUUUCCAAUUUUUCAAUAAUGUAAUCUGUAUAGAUUUUUAAUAUUUAAUAUCAAUGGCCUUCAAAAUUGAUCGUCUCUCCGUUCGAAAGCGAUCGAUGGAGGGAAAAGAAAAACUUAAAGAAAAAGAAAAGAAAAGAAAAGAAAAUUAGAAAGUCUCGAUUUCUUGCUAUAUCUCUCGACGAUUAUAAUUUUUAUCUCUUCGAUCAUCCACCGAAAAGUUUUCGUUUGAUACUUUCGUAACUCUCGAAACUUCCGUUUUAAAGUUGAAAGUUUAUCGUGCCAACUUUCGAGGGUAAACGUUCGAACGAUGGUCUAUAAUCUAACUUGUUCUUGAGAGGAUAUAAUAUUAAAAAGAAAUAAAAAAAAAAAAAAAAAAAAAAAGAAAGAAAGAAAAAGAAACAAAAAGAAAACGAGAAAAGAAAGAGAAAAAAUUGAUUCGUAGAAAAAGUCAAAAGUAAAAAAGAAAAAAUAAGGCUCGACGAUGAACAAUCGAUUUCAAAUUCAAUCUCUCGAAAUUCUUCUCGAAACCUUUUCCAGCUUCGUGGCCAACAGAAUUGACACCUUUUUGAGGGUAGCCGACGACAAAUCGUUUUCCCACUGGUCAAACAAGCGCGCGCACGUGCGCGUGCGCCUGUGCGUGGACGUGUGUAUGCGUGUAUAUGUGUAUGUGUGUAUGACAGGCCAUUGUCGAGGGGAAAAGCAAAUAGUUGUACUCUCGAGCUUGACCUCGAAAGGGUUAAUCGAGUGGAGGGACGCAUCGUUGGCAAACAGGCUGGCGAAGUCGAGUUUCGGUUGGUCCUUCGAACCUGAACUCAAAAUUGGAAAGGUCAAUCGCGUUUGCGUCUCGCUCAUAUACGUAAACGCACGUAAAUACACACAUUGUUCAUAUCACAAAAAUAAACAAACAAACAAACAAACAAACAAACAAACAAACAAAUAUACAAACAAACAAGCGAACGAACAAACAAUAAAUACAUAAAUAAAAAAUUCAAACAAA
Molecule: RNA transcript, 5264 nt
Organism: Vespula pensylvanica (western yellowjacket)
Lineage: Eukaryota; Metazoa; Arthropoda; Insecta; Hymenoptera; Vespidae
Gene: KaiR1D
Gene name: glutamate receptor ionotropic, kainate 2
Exons: 19
Source: RefSeq, a predicted model, not a curated record